UCUUCUAGCUUGCUAGAAGUGGAUUAGUGGCGCACGGGUGAGUAAUGCAUAGGUUAUGUGCCCUUUAGUCUGGGAUAGCCACUGGAAACGGUGAUUAAUACUGGAUACUCCCUACGGGGGAAAGUUUUUCGCUAAAGGAUCAGCCUAUGUCCUAUCAGCUUGUUGGUGAGGUAAUGGCUCACCAAGGCUAUGACGGGUAUCCGGCCUGAGAGGGUGAUCGGACACACUGGAACUGAGACACGGUCCAGACUCCUACGGGAGGCAGCAGUAGGGAAUAUUGCUCAACGGGGGAAACCCUGAAGCAGCAACGCCGCGUGGAGGAUGAAGGUUUUAGGAUUGUAAACUCCUUUUGUUAGAGAAGAUUAUGACGGUAUCUAACGAAUAAGCACCGGCUAACUCCGUGCCAGCAGCCGCGGUAAUACGGAGGGUGCAAGCGUUACUCGGAAUCACUGGGCGUAAAGAGUGCGUAGGCGGGGUAAUAAGUCAGAUGUGAAAUCCUGUAGCUUAACUACAGAACUGCAUUUGAAACUGUUACUCUGGAGUGUGGGAGAGGUAGGUGGAAUUCUUGGUGUAGGGGUAAAAUCCGUAGAGAUCAAGAGGAAUACUCAUUGCGAAGGCGACCUGCUGGAACAUUACUGACGCUGAUGCACGAAAGCGUGGGGAGCAAACAGGAUUAGAUACCCUGGUAGUCCACGCCCUAAACGAUGGAUGCUAGUUGUUGCCUUGCUUGUCAGGGCAGUAAUGCAGCUAACGCAUUAAGCAUCCCGCCUGGGGAGUACGGUCGCAAGAUUAAAACUCAAAGGAAUAGACGGGGACCCGCACAAGCGGUGGAGCAUGUGGUUUAAUUCGAAGAUACGCGAAGAACCUUACCUAGGC
RNAcentral lists this ribosomal RNA (876 nucleotides) under uncultured bacterium. RNAcentral describes it as "bacterial SSU rRNA". It matches the Rfam family "Bacterial small subunit ribosomal RNA", at positions 71 to 980 of the family's 1533-position model. The record is from RNAcentral.